This is a long non-coding RNA of Astyanax mexicanus (Mexican tetra), 338 nucleotides long. RefSeq lists it as uncharacterized. Lineage: Eukaryota; Metazoa; Chordata; Actinopteri; Characiformes; Acestrorhamphidae. The transcript is spliced from 3 exons. The record is from RefSeq and is a predicted model, not a curated record.
GUUUGGAGGUGUGUAGUGAUGAACUCUGAAGCUACAUGAAGUUUGGAGGUGUGUAGUGAUGAACUCUGAAGCUACAUGAAGUUUGGAGGUGUGUAGUGAUGAACUCUGAAGCUACAUGAAGUUUGGAGGUGUGUAGUGAUGAACUCAGAAGCUACAUGAAGUUUGGAGGUGUGUAGUGAUGAACUCUGAAGCUACAUGAAGUUUGGAGGUGUGUAGUGAUGAACUCUGAAGCUACAUGAAGUUUGGAGGUGUGUAGUGAUGAACUCUGAAGCUACAUGAAGUUUGGAGGUGUGUAGUGAUGAACUCUGAAGCUACAUGAAGUUUGGAGGUGUGUAGUG